Long non-coding RNA from Oryzias melastigma (Indian medaka), 1528 nucleotides. RefSeq lists it as uncharacterized. The record is from RefSeq and is a predicted model, not a curated record. NCBI's taxonomy places the organism in Eukaryota, Metazoa, Chordata, Actinopteri, Beloniformes, Adrianichthyidae. The transcript has 6 exons.
UCUGUUUGUUGGGUCGUUGGUGGUCGGUCAGUCAUUCCAUCAGUUGGUCAGUCGGCUGGUUGGUCGGUUAGUCGCUCAGUUGGUUGGUCACUCAGUUAGUUGGUUGCUUUAUUGGUCGAUCAGUUGGCUGAUUAGUUGGUUGGUUGGCUGGUUGUUCGGUUGGUUUGCUAGUUGGUCGGUUGGUCACUCGGUUAGUUGGUCGCUUUAUUGGUUGAUCGGUUUGUCAGUCGGUCCAUUGGUUGGUCGGUCGAUUGAUCGCUUGGUCCGUUGGUUAGCCGCUAAGUUGGUCGCUCGGUUGGUCAGUUAGUCGCUAAAUUGGUUGGUCAGUCGGUUAGUCGCUUGGUUGGUUGGACGGUCAGUCAUUCAGUCAGUUGAACGUGGCGACAUUUCUUCGCCUGAUUGGUUAACCGUUUUCCUUCUGGAAGUCUGACCAAUGGGGGCUGUGCAGCGGACGCCACUGGGGUCAGACAGAAUCAUCACAGAAAACUUGGAGAUCCUUGGAGACUUCAGCCAAUCAGGAAGCACCAGAACAGUCGUUGGUUUGACCGCGGUUCUGUUUGUUAGGAAUCGGAACUCCACGGAUCUGGAGGAUCAAUUGGAGGUUCAGCUCAGGUGUAGGAGUCCAGACGAGGAUCAGGACCGACCCGGCUGGACCUCUGAGACGGAUCAGUGUGUGUCUGUGUGUGUGUGGGGGUGUGUGUGUGUGUGUGUCCCACACCUCCAACAGGUAAAUUGGUGCGACUUCACCUCCGUCCCCUCCUCCCGCUGUCCUGCGCUGUGAUUGGCUGAGCUCUGUUUGGACUGACACAUCUCCAGAGCGACAGAUUGAUGAGAUGAGACCAAAGUUCUGGACUCCAGCUUGUUGUUUUCUCUCGUCUGCUCGUGUUUUGGUGACUUCUGGAAGGUUCAGCUCAUCCGGACGGUUCUGAACUUCCACGUCUUCCCUCUGAGAUCCUCUGGAUACCUGAGGACGACUCCGGUCUGGAACCUGCAGAAAAAGCUUCCAGCUGCUAAUUAGCAGCAGGCUCUUAUCACCGCUCCUUCUGCCUGGACGUUUGCAACCUGCAGAGCAGGAGGCGGGGCCGCGGAGCCACGGAGCCACGGAGCCACGGCGCCGCUGCAUGCUGACGAGGGAAGAAUCUGAUUUCAGCUUCAGCAUCAAGACGGAUGAUCACAGCUGACCUGAACGGAGAGAUUUAGAGGAACCGAAGAAUCCUGCAGAAGAAGCUUCUCUUCCUGUUUCAUCAAGGAGACUUCCUCCAGAUGUGAGGAUCAGCUGUGACGAUCACCACACCCCCUGCUGUCCAGAAGCCCCUCCCCCCUCCCCGGUCGGUGUUCCUCGUUUGGCCCGACACGUCGACCCCAUUGAUCACUUCGGUUACGUCAACAUGUCAGAGUGGAAGUCUGCCUGCUGCCCGUUGCCGUGGCGAUCUGAGCCGGCGUCACACGGGCUGACAGGCUGUCACCGUGGAAACAAGUGAAAAUAAAAGUGAGGUGGCUCGCUCCGCCGCGCCAUCGAUCGGCCCUC